AUUGAACGCUGGCGGCAGGCUUAACACAUGCAAGUCGAGCGGUAACAGAGAGAAGCUUGCUUCUCUGCUGACGAGCGGCGGACGGGUGAGUAAUGCCUAGGAAUCUGCCUAGUAGUGGGGGAUAACUUGCCAAAGGUAAGCUAAUACCGCAUACGUCCUACGGGAGAAAGGAGGGGACCUUCGGGCCUUUCGCUAUUAGAUGAGCCUAGGUCGGAUUAGUUAGUUGGUGAGGUAAUGGCUCACCAAGACCGCGAUCCGUAACUGGUCUGAGAGGAUGAACAGGCACGCUGGAACUGAGACACGGUCCAGACUCCUACGGGAGGCAGCAGUGGGGAAUAUUGGACAAUGGGGGGAGCCCUGAUCCAGCCAUGCCGCGUGUGUGAAGAAGGUCUUAGGAUUGUAAAGCACUUUAAGUUGGGAGGAAGAGCAGUUAACUAAUAUUUGACUGUUUUGACGUUACCGACAGAAUAAGCACCGGCUAACUUCGUGCCAGCCGCCGCCGUAA
Molecule: ribosomal RNA, 505 nt
Filed under: uncultured bacterium
Lineage: Bacteria
Description: partial 16S ribosomal RNA
Rfam family: Bacterial small subunit ribosomal RNA
Source: RNAcentral